Capsicum annuum is the source of this 107-nucleotide non-coding RNA. The record is from Rfam. NCBI's taxonomy places the organism in Eukaryota, Viridiplantae, Streptophyta, Magnoliopsida, Solanales, Solanaceae.
UGAUGAUGGUGAGGGAAAUUUCUGAGCAUACUUUUAAAUCUCUUCCAAGAUUGGUAAAGAUUCUUUCCUUCUUUCAGUCUAAAACUUAAAAUCUCGCUUCUUAAAUG